AGGAUGAACGCUGGCGGCGUGCCUAACACAUGCAAGUCGAACGUCCUGUCUCGCAAGAGGCAGGGAGUGGCGGACGGGUGAGUACCACGUGGGUUAUCUACCGUGAGGUGAGGAAUACCGGCGAGAAAUCGCCGACAAGACCGCAUAGCCUCGGUGCAAGCCGAGCAAAGCUCUUUCGAGAGAGGGAGCGCCACACGAGGAGCCUGCGCCCGAUUAGCUAGCUGGUGGAGUAACGGUUCACCAGGGCGACGAUCGGUAGCUGGUCUGAGAGGACGAUCAGCCACACUGGGAUUGAGAACGGCCCAGACUCCUACGGGGGGCAGCAGUGAGGAAUUUCGUCAAUGGGGCAACCCUGAACGAGCAACGCCGCGUGCAGGAAGAAGGUUUUCGGAUCGUAAACUGCUUUUCUCGGGGAAGAGAACGGACGGUACCCGAGGAAUCAGCCCCGGCUAACUACGUGCCAGCAGCCGCGGUAA
This 476-nucleotide ribosomal RNA is filed under the name uncultured bacterium. RNAcentral describes it as "SSU rRNA". It matches the Rfam family "Bacterial small subunit ribosomal RNA", at positions 26 to 523 of the family's 1533-position model. The record is from RNAcentral.